RNAcentral lists this unclassified non-coding RNA (282 nucleotides) under uncultured Cyphellophora. RNAcentral describes it as "sequence contains ITS2". The stretch from base 1 to 53 matches the Rfam family "5.8S ribosomal RNA", at positions 102 to 154 of the family's 154-position model. Lineage: Eukaryota; Fungi; Ascomycota; Eurotiomycetes; Chaetothyriales; Herpotrichiellaceae. The record is from RNAcentral.
GAACGCACAUUGCGCCCUCUGGUAUUCCGGGGGGCAUGCCUGUUCGAGCGUCAUUAUCACCCCUCAAGCCCGGCUUGUUGUUGGACGUCGGCGGCGGCCUUUAGUGGCGUACCGCCCGUCUCAAAGAUAAUGACGGCGUCUGUGAGGACACCUGUACACUGAGCUUUCGGGCACGUACUAGGCUGAUACUUGCAGACCCGGUCUUCGGGUUCGCUUCGGCGUCCCCAACUUUUUUACCAAGGUUGACCUCGGAUCAGGUAGGAAUACCCGCUGAACUUAAGC